Molecule: ribosomal RNA, 468 nt
Filed under: uncultured bacterium
Lineage: Bacteria
Description: partial 16S ribosomal RNA
Rfam family: Bacterial small subunit ribosomal RNA
Source: RNAcentral
GACGAACGCUGGCGGCGUGCUUAACACAUGCAAGUCGAACGGAAAGGCCCUGCUUUUGUGGGGUGCUCGAGUGGCGAACGGGUGAGUAACAAGUGAGUAACCUGCCCUUGACUUUGGGAUAACUUCAGGAAACUGGGGAUAAGACCGGAUAGGAGCUCCUGCUGCAUGGUGGGGGUUGGAAAGUUUAGGCGGUGGGGGAUGGACGGGCGGUUUAUCAGCUUGUUGGGGGGGUAGUGGCUUUCCAAGGUUUUGAAGGUUUGCCGGCCUGAGAGGGUUACCGGCCCCAUGGGGCCUGUGAUCCGGCCCUGACGGCUACGGUAGGCAGCAUUGUGUAACUUCGCCCUAUCGUCGGCAGCCUGAUGGAGCACCUCCUCGUGCUGGAUGUUGGCCUUCUGGUUGUAAUCCGCCUUCGCCUGUGACUAAGCGUGAGCUACGGUAAUGGGUAAAGAAGCACCGGCUAACUACGUG